This 742-nucleotide long non-coding RNA is filed under the name Trifolium pratense (red clover). RNAcentral's name for it is "long non-coding RNA (TPRA_LNC004164)". Lineage: Eukaryota; Viridiplantae; Streptophyta; Magnoliopsida; Fabales; Fabaceae. The record is from RNAcentral.
CACUUUCAACAUCAUUUUCAAAAAUUAAAACGUGUAUAUUUGGUUCAUUGGAUCUGUGUGUUACAACAUUCAACUAAGCCAACUAUAUAAAAAUAUUCACCUUCACAUUCAAAUCUAUUAAAGCUUCAGACUUUUUCAUUCACAAUGAGAUAAGUUAGGAAUGAUACAUACAACUUAAAUUUCUCCUUAAUUAGAAACUUGAAAAGCUCACCCAUGACAACCGUUCCUUUGGUAUCUGCUGCCCUAAGAAGGAAAACAAGUUGCAACUUCAUUUCAUUUAGUUUAAUUUAAGUUUAAAUAUGAUUUUACUUCUUACAAUUAUAUACGUUUUUGUUUUGUUUUAGGCUAAUGUAAGUUUUUUUAGUUUUUUCGUUUAAGUUCGGUCGUUACAAAUUUAAAAACAGUUGCUUUUUUGUCACUAAUGUUAACUCAUUUUCACGUGGUGUGAUUAUAUUUGACGACAUAUAACAACUUUAAUUUAUAAAGAUGAAUCUACUUAUUCACCUUUAAGUAGAAUUUCUAGCCAAUAAGCUACUUGAAAAAAAAAAAAACGAAUCCAAUAAAAAAAAGUUACACAAUUUUUUAUUUUUUUCCGCAAAAAGGUUACAGAGAUUAAAACCUCAAAAUUGCUACAGUUACAUGACUAAAAUCUAUUAUAAACCUUUUAUAUGGUUUAACACUUUUUCAAAAGUUGUUAAAUGGACCAAAACUCUUAAAAAUGUUUUUUAUUUUAUUUUAAAAC